CCAAUAGCGUAUAUUAAAGUUGUUGCAGUUAAAAAGCUCGUAGUUGAAUUUCGGGGUUAGUAGGUUGGUCAUGCCUCUGGUAUGUACUGGUCUCACUGAUUCCUCCUUCCUGAUGAACCUUAAUGCCAUUAAUUUGGUGUUUUGGGGAAUUUGGACUGUUACUUUGAAAAAAUUAGAGUGUUUAAAGCAAGCUAACGCUUGAAUACAUUAGCAUGGAAUAAUGAAAUAGGACGUUCGAUCCUAUUUUGUUGGUUUCUAGGAUUGACGUAAUGAUUAAUAGGGAUAGUUGGGGGCAUUAGUAUUCAAUUGUCAGAGGUGAAAUUCUUGGAUUUAUUGAAGACUAACUACUGCGAAAGCAUUUGCCAAGGAUGUUUUCAUUAAUCAAGAACGAAAGUUAGGGGAUCGAAGACGUUCAGAUACCGUCGUAGUCUUAACCAUAAACUAUGCCGACUAGGGAUCGGAUGAUGUUAAUUUUUUAAUGACUCAUUCGGCGCCUUACG
RNAcentral lists this ribosomal RNA (500 nucleotides) under uncultured Glomeromycotina. Its description in RNAcentral is "partial small subunit ribosomal RNA". It matches the Rfam family "Eukaryotic small subunit ribosomal RNA", at positions 591 to 1092 of the family's 1831-position model. The record is from RNAcentral. Lineage: Eukaryota; Fungi; Glomeromycota.